GUCUACGGCUGUACCACCCUGCCUGUGCCGGAUCCCCUCUGACCCGGGAGCUGAGCAGGGCUGGGCCUGGCUGGUACUGGGACUGGAGAAUCUUGAGUGCCUAACACU
This 108-nucleotide ribosomal RNA is filed under the name Propithecus coquereli (Coquerel's sifaka). Lineage: Eukaryota; Metazoa; Chordata; Mammalia; Primates; Indriidae. The record is from RNAcentral.